RNAcentral lists this ribosomal RNA (459 nucleotides) under Gallionella sp. RNAcentral describes it as "partial 23S ribosomal RNA". It matches the Rfam family "Bacterial large subunit ribosomal RNA", at positions 2471 to 2925 of the family's 2925-position model. Lineage: Bacteria; Pseudomonadati; Pseudomonadota; Betaproteobacteria; Nitrosomonadales; Gallionellaceae. The record is from RNAcentral.
GGGAUAACAGGCUGAUUCCUCCCAAGUGUUCAUAUCGACGGGGGAGUUUGGCACCUCGAUGUCGGCUAAUCACAUCCUGGGGCUGUAGCCGGUCCCAAGGGUAUGGCUGUUCGCCAUUUAAAGUGGUACGUGAGCGGGGUUUAAAACGUCGUGAGACAGUUUGGUCCCUAUCUGCCGUGGGCGUUGGAAUUUUUAAGGGACCUGCUCCUAGUACGAGAGGUCCGGAGUGGACAGAUCUCUGGUGUACCGGUUUUCACGCCAGUGGUAUUGACGGGUAGCUAAAUCUGGAAGAGAUAACCGCUGAAAGCAUCUAAGCGGGAAACUCGCCUUGAGAUAAGAUUUCCCUGGGCUUUAAGCCUUCUAAAGAGUCGUUCGAGACCAGGACGUUGAUAGGUCAGGUGUGGAAGCGCAGUAAUGCGUUAAGCUAACUGAUACUAAUUGCUCGUGAGGCUUGAUCCU